GCACUGAUGAAGAGUCCCAGAAUAAGACGUAACGGCCGUCCAGUGU
Schistosoma margrebowiei is the source of this 46-nucleotide non-coding RNA. The record is from Rfam. NCBI's taxonomy places the organism in Eukaryota, Metazoa, Platyhelminthes, Trematoda, Strigeidida, Schistosomatidae.